AUUGAACGCUGGCGGCAUGCUUUACACAUGCAAGUCGAACGGUAACAGGUUAAGCUGACGAGUGGCGAACGGGUGAGUAAUGCAUCGGAACGUGCCCGGUCGUGGGGGAUAACGCAGCGAAAGCUGCGCUAAUACCGCAUACGAUCUGAGGAUGAAAGCGGGGGACCGUAAGGCCUCGCGCGAUCGGAGCGGCCGAUGUCAGAUUAGGUAGUUGGUGGGGUAAGGGCUCACCAAGCCAACGAUCUGUAGCUGGUCUGAGAGGACGACCAGCCACACUGGGAAUUAGACACGGACCAGACGCCUACGGGAGGCAGCAGUGGGGAAUUUUGGACAAUGGGCGCAAGCCUGAUCCAGCAAUGCCGCGUGCAGGAAGAAGGCCUUCGGGUUGUAAACUGCUUUUGUACGGAACGAAAAGGUUUGGGUUAAUACCCUGGGCCGAUGACGGUACCGUAAGAAUAAGCACCGGCUAACUACGUGCCAGCAGCCGCCGUAA
This 493-nucleotide ribosomal RNA is filed under the name uncultured bacterium. Its description in RNAcentral is "partial 16S ribosomal RNA". It matches the Rfam family "Bacterial small subunit ribosomal RNA", at positions 29 to 523 of the family's 1533-position model. The record is from RNAcentral.